Molecule: ribosomal RNA, 472 nt
Filed under: uncultured bacterium
Lineage: Bacteria
Description: bacterial SSU rRNA
Rfam family: Bacterial small subunit ribosomal RNA
Source: RNAcentral
GAUGAACGCUAGCGGCAGGCUUAACACAUGCAAGUCGAGGGACGGUAGCAAUACUGGACCGGCAAACGGGUGCGGAACACGUACGCAACUUACCCCAAACAGGUGAAUAGCCUUCGGAAACGAAGAUUAAUACACCGUAAGAUAUAGGAGUGGCAUCAUUUUUAUAUAAUAGCUCAGGCGGUUUGGGAUGGGCGUGCGCCUGAUUAGGUAGUUGGUGGGGUAACGGCUCACCAAGCCAACGAUCAGUAACUGGUGUGAGAGCACGACCAGUCACACGGGCACUGAGACACGGGCCCGACUCCUACGGGAGGCAGCAGUGAGGAAUAUUGGGCAAUGGACGCAAGUCUGACCCAGCCAUGCCGCGUGAAGGAUGAAGGCGUUCUGCGUUGUAAACUUCUUUUAUCUGGGAAGAAACCUACGAUUUCUAUUGUAGCUGACGGUACCAGAGGAAUAAGCACCGGCUAACUCCGUG